AGAGGUGAGAGCGAUCUGGCUGCGACAUCUGUCACCCCAUUGAUCGCCAGGGUGGAUUCGGCUGAUCUGGCUGGCUAGGCAGGUGUCCCCUUCCUCCCUCACCGCUCCAUGUGCAUCCCUCCCGAAGCUGUGCGCUCAGUCGAAGAGGACGACCAUCCCCGAUAGGGGAGGACCGCUCUUCAGUCAAGGGUAUACGAGUAGCUGUGCUCCCCUGCUAGAACCUCCAAACAAGCUCUCAAGGUCCAUUUGUAGGAGGAUGUAGGGUAGUCAAAAAAAAAAAAAGAAAAAGUCAAAGAGAAAAUU
Molecule: small nuclear RNA, 303 nt
Filed under: Callithrix jacchus (white-tufted-ear marmoset)
Lineage: Eukaryota; Metazoa; Chordata; Mammalia; Primates; Cebidae
Description: 7SK RNA
Rfam family: 7SK RNA
About the family: 7SK was discovered as an abundant small nuclear RNA in the mid-70s but a possible function has only recently been suggested. Two independent studies have found that 7SK RNA binds the CDK9/cyclin T complex (known as elongation factor P-TEFb).
Source: Rfam by way of RNAcentral